GACGAACGCUGGCGGUGUGCUUAACACAUGCAAGUCGAACGGAAAGGCCCUGCUUUUGUGGGGUGCUCGAGUGGCGAACGGGUGAGUAACACGUGAGUAACCUGCCCUUGACUUUGGGAUAACUUCAGGAAACUGGGGCUAAUCCCGGAUAGGAGCUCCUGCUGCAUGGUGGGGGUUGGAAAGUUUCGGCGGUCGGGGCUGGAUUAGCGGCUUAUCAGCUUGUUGGUGGGGGAGUGGCUUACCAAGGCUUUGACGGGUAGCCGGCCUGGGAGGGUGAACGGGGACAUUAGGACUAAGGUACGGCGCAGACUCCUACGGUGGGCAGCGGGGGCAAGUCUUGCACAGUGAGAGGGAGCCUGAUGCAGAGACGCCGGGUGCGGGAUGACGGCCUGCGGGUUAUAAACCGCUUUCGCCUGUGACGAAGCGGGAGUGACGGUAAUGAGUAAAGAAGCACCGGCUAACUACGUG
RNAcentral lists this ribosomal RNA (468 nucleotides) under uncultured bacterium. RNAcentral's name for it is "partial 16S ribosomal RNA". It matches the Rfam family "Bacterial small subunit ribosomal RNA", at positions 28 to 507 of the family's 1533-position model. The record is from RNAcentral.